This 217-nucleotide ribosomal RNA is filed under the name uncultured bacterium. RNAcentral's name for it is "partial 16S ribosomal RNA". It matches the Rfam family "Bacterial small subunit ribosomal RNA", at positions 30 to 244 of the family's 1533-position model. The record is from RNAcentral.
AUUGAACGCUGGCGGCAUGCCUUACACAUGCAAGUCGAACGGCAGCACGGGAGCAAUCCUGGUGGCGAGUGGCGAACGGGUGAGUAAUAUAUCGGAACGUGCCCAGUGAUGGGGGAGUAGCCCGGCGAAAGCCGGAUUAAUACCGCAUACGACCUACGGUGGAAAGACAGGGGAGUCGCAAGACCUUGCGUCAUUGGAGCGGCCGAUAUCAGAUUAG